AAGCGCAUCUGGUGGAUGCCUUGGCGGCAACAGGCGAUGAAAGACGUAGUAGCCUGCGAUAAGCCUCGGGGAGCUGGCAAACAAGCUUUGAUCCGAGGAUUUCUGAAUGGGGCAACCCACGGCUUAGGCCGUAUCCCGCAAGGGAGGCUAACGCAGGGAACUGAAACAUCUAAGUACCUGCAGGAAAAGAAAUCAACCGAGAUUCCCCUAGUAGUGGCGAGCGAACGGGGAGUAGCCCUUAAGUUUUGUGCGGUUUAGUGGAACAGUCUGGAAAGUCUGGUCAUAGCGGGUGAUAGCCCCGUACACGAAAAACUGCAUGAGAUGAAAUCGAGUAAGGCGAGGCACGUGAAACCUUGUCUGAAUAUGGGGGGACCAUCCUCCAAGGCUAA
This 389-nucleotide ribosomal RNA is filed under the name Ochromonas sp. CCMP1393. RNAcentral describes it as "partial Bacterial large subunit ribosomal RNA". It matches the Rfam family "Bacterial large subunit ribosomal RNA", at positions 13 to 469 of the family's 2925-position model. The record is from RNAcentral. Lineage: Eukaryota; Chrysophyceae; Chromulinales; Chromulinaceae.